RNAcentral lists this ribosomal RNA (957 nucleotides) under Triticum aestivum (bread wheat). RNAcentral describes it as "partial small subunit ribosomal RNA". Lineage: Eukaryota; Viridiplantae; Streptophyta; Magnoliopsida; Poales; Poaceae. The record is from RNAcentral.
AUGAAUGCCGGCGAUUUCAUCAGCCGCCUCCCGGACGCUGUCCUGGGCACCAUCAUCUCUUUACUCCCCACCAAGGACGGCGGCCGCACGCAGAUCCUCUCCCGCCGAUGGCGCCACCUAUGGCGCUCUGCUCCUCUCAACCUCGAGGUCAUCAUCGGGCCUCCCGGACCCUGUCCUGGGCACCAUCAUCCCUCCGCGAUCCACCACUCCACCGUCUCCAAGAUAAUCUCCCAACACCUUGGCCCUGCCCGCCGAUUCUGCCUCAAGCACCUGAUCGACGGCAACCUCCCUGAGAUGGAGAGCUGGUUGGACUCCCGAGCCAUCGUCAACCUCCAGGAACUCGACAUCACCAAUUACGCUGGAUAUAAGACCGGCUAUACAUUGCCGCAAUCCGUGUUCCGCUCCGCAUCCACACUUCUCGUUGCAAAGAUAAUGGGUUGCAAUUUCCCGGACGCGAUCACACGCUCCAUGAAUUUCUACCUCCUCAACCAGCUUUCCUUGGAUUGUGUUUCGGUCUCGGGGGAUGUGUUCCAUGGCUUGCUCUCCGGCUGCCAUGCCUUGGAGAGCUUAGCCAUGCUCGAAGUUCAUGCUACUGGUUGCCUCCGUGUUAGCUCGCCAACUCUUAGGAGCAUUGGCUUCCGCAAAGGAUCUCGUAAAAGAGCCGAAUUGGUCCUCGAGGAUACUCCUCGCCUUGAAAGGUUAUUAUUACCGUAUUGUGACCGGAAUAAUUUUGUGACUAUCCGGGUUAUUUGGGUGCCUAAACUGCAGAUAUUUGGGCCUUUCUCAACAGGCGCGUGCGAACUCUGGGUCUUCCAGGUAGCAGCAACAGACAUCAUUCAGCAUUCUUACAUGGAGAUAAUUGUUUUUGAUGUUUUAUUGUUUUCUUCAGGGAAUGAGCCCCGUCAGCUCGACAAACUCGAUAUGCACUGUGAAGGUUUGGGCCCUCGGGUGUUCUGA